RNAcentral lists this ribosomal RNA (549 nucleotides) under uncultured fungus. RNAcentral's name for it is "eukaryotic LSU rRNA". The stretch from base 242 to 395 matches the Rfam family "5.8S ribosomal RNA". Lineage: Eukaryota; Fungi. The record is from RNAcentral.
UCCGUAGGUGAACCUGCGGAAGGAUCAUUAACGAGUUUGAAAAGAGUUGUAGCUGGCCUUCUGAGGUAAUGUGCACACUCUGCUCAUCCACACACACCUGUGCACAUCGAUAGUCUUUUUUUUUUCGAAGGGGGGAAACUAGCCCUUUGGGUGAAAGUCCACCCUCCUUAGAAAAAGCUAUUUUUUACACAUACACUUUUAGUUAAGAAUGUAUCUAUUGCUAUAAAAACGCAUUAAAUAUAACUUUCAACAACGGAUCUCUUGGCUCUCGCAUCGAUGAAGAACGCAGCGAAAUGCGAUAAGUAAUGUGAAUUGCAGAAUUCAGUGAAUCAUCGAAUCUUUGAACGCACAUUGCGCCCUCUGGUAUUCCGGGGGGCAUGCCUGUUCGAGCGUCAUUACAACCCUCAAGCUUUGCUUGGUAUUGGACAUUGCCAGUUUCUGGCAGGUCUUAAAAUCAGUGGCGGUGCCAUUUGGCUUCAAGCGUAGUAAUUCUUCUCGCUUCGGAGAUCCAGGUGGUUACUUGCCAAUAACCCCCAAUUUUUUCAGGUU